AACGGCCGCGGUACCCUAACCGUGCGAAGGUAGCAUAAUCACUUGUUCUUUAAAUAGGGACUCGUAUCAACGGCAUCACGAGGGCUAUACUGUCUCCUUUCUCUAAUCAGUGAAACUGAUCUCCUCGUGAAGAAGCGAGGAUAGUUUUAUAAGACGAGAAGACCCCAUGGAGCUUUAAACCCAAUGUACAUCUCUACGCAUAUAAGCCCCAAUAGCCCAAGAAAAUUGUAUGUUGGUUUUGGGUUGGGGGGACCGCGGAGAAAAAAUUAACCUCCACGACAAAUGGGCCUAUGCCCUUAUCCAUGAGCUACCAUUCUAAGAAUCAAUAAACUGAUGUUCAGUGACCCAAUUUAUUUGAUCAACGAACCAAGUUACCCUGGGGAUAACAGCGCAAUCUACUUCAAGAGCCCCUAUCGACAAGUGGGUUUACGACCUCGAUGUUGGAUCAGGGUAUCCUAGU
This 460-nucleotide ribosomal RNA is filed under the name Pelophylax saharicus (Sahara frog). RNAcentral describes it as "partial 16S ribosomal RNA". It matches the Rfam family "Bacterial large subunit ribosomal RNA", at positions 1926 to 2551 of the family's 2925-position model. The record is from RNAcentral. Lineage: Eukaryota; Metazoa; Chordata; Amphibia; Anura; Ranidae.